ACCUCAAGUUAUCUGCCUGCCUCGGCCUCCCAAACUGUUGGAAUUACAGGCGUGAACCACCAUGCCUGGCCAGCUCUAUUUCUUUAAGCCUACAUGUUUUGCACUUGUUAAAAGUAUUUGAACAUACAAUUACUCAGCUUCCCUUGUUUACGCGUGAAUUUUGUAGAAUCUUAAAUAUUUUUUCCAAUCUAAGCUUUAUUUUAUCCCGUUUCUUCUAUAUUUGUAUAACUUUAGGCGGCUAUCUUCAUUGAAAGUUUUUUCUCAAAAGCCUUAAGAUAGAACGUAGUUCUUGGCAGCAAUUUGAAAGUUAUUUGAGGAGAAGGGGAGACUUACAAUGAUGAUUCAAAUGAAGGAAACUAAAAAGUAAUGAAGCAAGGCAGAGGAAAAAGCAGUACUCACUUGAGCACAUCCCAAAAGAAAAACAUUUCAAAUGUAACUAGAAAAAAAUAUGCUGAAGUUCGCAAUACAGAAAUAAUUAUUAAUAAGAUAGCUUUAAAGCCCUGCUCAGCUUUUGAAUGUUGGGAAUUGACCCAGAGGUGGCUGUAACCUAAGAUGGUUCCUUCAGUAAUGACCAUUUUUUCUUUUUCAAGAUGAUGAUUAUUCCCCACCUUCUAAGAGACAAAGACCAACGAGCCACCACAGCCACCAGUCCCAGAACCCGCCAAUGCUGGGGAACGGAAAAUGAGGGAGUUCAACUCUGGCCCUCACAAUCCAGUGGAGGAGACGAAACUCAUCUGCCUCUGUCCCUCUGGGCACGCCUCAUGCCAGGUGCAUCUGUGGACAGGGGCCAUGCUCCUGGGCUUCCAAAGUUGGAGAAAGCUGCCAGGCUCAGAGCCACCUAAGCUGAAGAUUCCCUUGAGAACAAGUACUGUCCCUAGUUUCCCAGUGCUGGAAUAUAGAAAAUGGAUGGACAAGUAAAUCCCACUCAGCACCCAUAGUCCAGGCAUGGGGACCUCAACACACCUGAGCCCCAGACAUCACCUUUCAUUCUGGACCUACCAUGAAAGACUUCUGAAUCCAGGAAGAGAAACUGACUGGGCAACAUGUUAUUCAAAAACAGGACCUUGCCCUGUCACUAGGAUGGAGUUCAGUGGUCCUAUCAUGGCUCAUUAUAGCCUCAAACUCCCAGGCUCAAGCAAUCCUACCAUGUCAGCCUUCCCAGUAGCUGGGACUACAGGAAGUGAGCUCACAAUGACUCAAGCUGCCACAUACUGUUGAUUGUGAAAUGCCAGUUGAAGCAUAUGUCCUGCGAGCUUAGGGGUGCUACAAGUUGACCACUGCAGCAGUAAAGAUGACUCUGAAGAAUGGCGUGGGAUGGUUCCUUUCAAAUGCACUUGAGCAGCGGUCUCCAACCACAGGGCCACAGAGCUGGAGCUGGAUCUACCAUGAAAGACUUGUGAAUCCAGGAAGAGAGACUGACUGGGCAACAUGUUAUUCAGGUGGGACCAUCCAGUUGCAGGAAAACAAGCUUAACACGCCCACUGAUUCUACAUUAUGCUCCUACCUCCCGGCAGCCUCUCCAGGCCCAGAACUUUCUCCAGUCAGCCUCUACAGACCAAGCUCAUGACUCUCAAUGGCCUAUUUAGGCCCAUACCCUACGUCACGGCAGCCUCCGCAGAUGAGGCUACUGCCUCACAACAGCCUCCACGGGCACAGCUCCAUCGUUACAAUGGCCUCUUUAGACCCAGCUCCUGCCUCCCAGCCUUCUCUCCAGGCUCUGAACUUUCUCAUUCUGAGACAGGGUCUCCCUCUGUUGUCCAAGGCUGGAG
RNAcentral lists this long non-coding RNA (1769 nucleotides) under Homo sapiens (human). Its description in RNAcentral is "HSALNT0387919". The record is from RNAcentral. Lineage: Eukaryota; Metazoa; Chordata; Mammalia; Primates; Hominidae.